AUAUCUAUCAACCCAUUUUAUGGGUUGGAUGUGGGUUUGCUGGUCCUUCUUGAGGUCAGCUCCCCUUAAAUGCAUUAGCGGACAACAUUUUGCCAACCGUUCAUUGGUGUGAUAAACUAUCUACGCUAUUGAAUGGUGAAGGCAGUUCAGCUUCCUAACAGUCCUUGGACAAUUUAUCAUUA
This 182-nucleotide unclassified non-coding RNA is filed under the name uncultured Cortinarius. RNAcentral's name for it is "sequence contains ITS2". The record is from RNAcentral. Lineage: Eukaryota; Fungi; Basidiomycota; Agaricomycetes; Agaricales; Cortinariaceae.